CGAAAGCGUUUUUAACAGCGCAAAACCCACUGUGAACAUACCUGUUUGUUGCUUCGGCAGGCGGCCCCAGGGCGGGGCCAGCAGCCUGUAUUUUUUUUCAGGCGCCUGCCGGAGGCCACUUCAAACUCUUUUGUAUACGUACUGUCUGAGCCUAAAAACAAAUACGUUA
This 169-nucleotide unclassified non-coding RNA is filed under the name soil metagenome. RNAcentral's name for it is "partial internal transcribed spacer 1". The record is from RNAcentral.